GAAAUUGCGGCGUGCUAUACAUGCAGUCGAGCGGACAGAUGGGAGCUUGCUCCCUGAUGUUAGCGGCGGACGGGUGAGUAACACGUGGGUAACCUGCCUGUAAGACUGGGAUAACUCCGGGAAACCGGGGCUAAUACCGGAUGGUUGUUUGAACCGCAUGGUUCAGACAUAAAAGGUGGCUUCGGCUACCACUUACAGAUGGACCCGCGGCGCAUUAGCUAGUUGGUGAGGUAACGGCUCACCAAGGCGACGAUGCGUAGCCGACCUGAGAGGGUGAUCGGCCACACUGGGACUGAGACACGGCCCAGACUCCUACGGGAGGCAGCAGUAGGGAAUCUUCCGCAAUGGACGAAAGUCUGACGGAGCAACGCCGCGUGAGUGAUGAAGGUUUUCGGAUCGUAAAGCUCUGUUGUUAGGGAAGAACAAGUGCCGUUCAAAUAGGGCGGCACCUUGACGGUACCUAACCAGAAAGCCACGGCUAACUACGUGCCAGCAGCCGCGGUAAUACGUAGGUGGCAAGCGUUGUCCGGAAUUAUUGGGCGUAAAGGGCUCGCAGGCGGUUUCUUAAGUCUGAUGUGAAAGCCCCCGGCUCAACCGGGGAGGGUCAUUGGAAACUGGGGAACUUGAGUGCAGAAGAGGAGAGUGGAAUUCCACGUGUAGCGGUGAAAUGCGUAGAGAUGUGGAGGAACACCAGUGGCGAAGGCGACUCUCUGGUCUGUAACUGACGCUGAGGAGCGAAAGCGUGGGGAGCGAACAGGAUUAGAUACCCUGGUAGUCCACGCCGUAAACGAUGAGUGCUAAGUGUUAGGGGGUUUCCGCCCCUUAGUGCUGCAGCUAACGCAUUAAGCACUCCGCCUGGGGAGUACGGUCGCAAGACUGAAACUCAAAGGAAUUGACGGGGGCCCGCACAAGCGGUGGAGCAUGUGGUUUAAUUCGAAGCAACGCGAAGAACCUUACCAGGUCUUGACAUCCUCUGACAAUCCUAGAGAUAGGACGUCCCCUUCGGGGGCAGAGUGACAGGUGGUGCAUGGUUGUCGUCAGCUCGUGUCGUGAGAUGUUGGGUUAAGUCCCGCAACGAGCGCAACCCUUGAUCUUAGUUGCCAGCA
This 1106-nucleotide ribosomal RNA is filed under the name Bacillus velezensis. RNAcentral's name for it is "bacterial SSU rRNA". It matches the Rfam family "Bacterial small subunit ribosomal RNA", at positions 31 to 1123 of the family's 1533-position model. The record is from RNAcentral. Lineage: Bacteria; Bacillati; Bacillota; Bacilli; Caryophanales; Bacillaceae.